AGCAGCAUCUUGGGCUUGCGCCGCGGCCGGUACUUGUAGUCGGGGUGCUCCUUCAUGUGCAUGGCGCGCAGGCGCUUCGCCUCGUCGAUGAACGGCCGCUUCUCCGACUCGUUCGCAGGUCCGCGCUGGGGCUGCUCCCAAUUGCCCCUCUCCUGCAGCACCGUGGGCCCCUUUCCAGCCCAGGCCGCCAGCCGCCGCUCCCGAGGCGACAGGAGCCCUGUGCACGGGCUCAGGUUUAGGCGAGAGGAGACUCCGAGGCGCGCCGCCGAGUUUGCGCACUGUUUGGCUUCCGCCACCCCUGGGGUCGUCCCGGCGGCCCCGGCCGGGCAGAGCAUCGGAGGUCGCGGGUCUGGGAUCGGAUCCUCUGCCCUGGAGGAAGGAGGCGCGCACGUGGAGGAGAGCCUCACGCGGUUCGGAGGAAGAGGGGACGCAGCCCAGAAAAUGCUGGAGACUUUUCCUAGCAAGAAGAUUUUCCUCACUUCUUGGCAUGCUUGCAGCACAUCUUCUAACACGAUCAGUCUGGAAGUUUCAUUCACAAGUUGGCCUGCCCUUCAUGGGGAACUUGCUUGCCUCUUUGGCAGUGCGGAUUUGUCCUAG
RNAcentral lists this long non-coding RNA (597 nucleotides) under Ovis aries (sheep). RNAcentral describes it as "lncRNA (ENSOARG00000026322.1)". Lineage: Eukaryota; Metazoa; Chordata; Mammalia; Artiodactyla; Bovidae. The record is from RNAcentral.